This 301-nucleotide ribosomal RNA is filed under the name uncultured bacterium. RNAcentral describes it as "partial 16S ribosomal RNA". It matches the Rfam family "Bacterial small subunit ribosomal RNA", at positions 509 to 807 of the family's 1533-position model. The record is from RNAcentral.
CAGUCGCCGCGGGAACACGUAGGGCGCAAGCGUUAUCCGGAAUUAUUGGGCGUAAAGAGCUCGUAGGCGGUUUGUCGCGUCUGCCGUGAAAGUCCGGGGCUCAACCCCGGAUCUGCGGUGGGUACGGGCAGACUAGAGUGAUGUAGGGGAGACUGGAAUUCCUGGUGUAGCGGUGAAAUGCGCAGAUAUCAGGAGGAACACCGAUGGCGAAGGCAGGUCUCUGGGCAUUAACUGACGCUGAGGAGCGAAAGCAUGGGGAGCGAACAGGAUUAGAUACCCCCGUAGUCCCUGUCUCUUAUAC